CACGUAGGGUGCGAGCGUUGUCCGGAAUUAUUGGGCGUAAAGAGCUCGUAGGCGGUGUGUCGCGUCGGCCGUGAAAACCUGCAGCUUAACUGUGGGCGUGCGGUCGAUACGGGCAUCACUGGAGUUCGGCAGGGGAGACUGGAAUUCCUGGUGUAGCGGUGAAAUGCGCAGAUAUCAGGAGGAACACCGGUGGCGAAGGCGGGUCUCUGGGCCGAUACUGCCGCUGAGGCGCGAAAGCGUGGGGAGCAAACAGG
This 254-nucleotide ribosomal RNA is filed under the name uncultured bacterium. RNAcentral's name for it is "partial 16S ribosomal RNA". It matches the Rfam family "Bacterial small subunit ribosomal RNA", at positions 524 to 776 of the family's 1533-position model. The record is from RNAcentral.